Molecule: long non-coding RNA, 687 nt
Filed under: Parus major (Great Tit)
Lineage: Eukaryota; Metazoa; Chordata; Aves; Passeriformes; Paridae
Description: lncRNA (ENSPMJG00000002320.1)
Source: RNAcentral
UGACCAUCAGUGACCAGAGUGACCAUCAGUGACCAUCAGUGACCAUCACUGACCAUCACUGACCACCACUGACCAUCACUGACCAUCACUGACCAGAGUGACCAUCACUGACCAUCACUGACCAUCACUGACCAUCACUGACCAUCAGUGACCAUCACUGACCAUCACUGACCAUCACUGACCAUCAGUGACCAUCACUGACCAUCACUGACCAUCACUGACCAUCAGUGACCAUCAGUGACCAGAGUGACCAUUACUGACCAUCAGUGACCAUCAGUGACCAUCACUGACCAUCACUGACCAUCACUGACCACCACUGACCAUCACUGACCAUCACUGACCAUCAGUGACCAUCAGUGACCAGAGUGACCACUGACCAUCACUGGCCAUUACUCUGGGCUGUACUGGGAGCACUGGGAUCCCUCAGAUCCCAGACUGGAGCGUCCCAGGUGUGUCCAGGUGUGUCCCCAGGUGUGUCCAGGUGUGUCCAGGUGUAUCUCAGGUGUAUCUCAGGUGUCCCCAGGUGUCCCCAGGUGUGUCCCAGGUGUCCCCAGGUGUGUCCCAAUGUCCCCCCAGGUGUCCCCAGGUGUAUCUCAGGUGUCCCCAGGUGUGUCACAGACCUGCAGCAGCAGGUGACAGAUCUCCAGGUGUCCUUUCUGCGCGGCCGCGUGCAGCGCCGAGCGCUUG